Molecule: ribosomal RNA, 253 nt
Filed under: uncultured bacterium
Lineage: Bacteria
Description: partial 16S ribosomal RNA
Rfam family: Bacterial small subunit ribosomal RNA
Source: RNAcentral
UACGUAGGGGGCUAACGUUGUCCGGAUUUAUUGGGCGUAAAGAGCGUGUAGGCGGCCAUGUAGGUCCGGUGUGAAAACUCGAGGCUUAACCUCGAGAUGUCAUCGGAAACCAUUUGGCUAGAGUCCGGAAGAGGAGAGUGGAAUUCCUGGUGUAGCGGUGAAAUGCGCAGAUAUCAGGAAGAACACCGAUGGCGAAGGCAGGUCUCUGGGCCGAUACUGACGCUGAGGAGCGAAAGCGUGGGGAGCGAACAGG